Molecule: ribosomal RNA, 483 nt
Filed under: uncultured bacterium
Lineage: Bacteria
Description: partial 16S ribosomal RNA
Rfam family: Bacterial small subunit ribosomal RNA
Source: RNAcentral
GACGAACGCUGGCGGCGUGCUUAACACAUGCAAGUCGUGCGGUAAGGCCCUGUCGGGGGUACUCGCGUGGUGACCGGGUGCGUGACACGUGAGUAAGGUGAACCCACCUUUGGGACUAGGAUAGGAUCCUGGAGCCAGUGCUGGAUCUGUGUUCCUGAUUCAAGGUGGGGGUUGGAAAGCUACGGCGGGUGUUGAUGUCCCCGCGCCCUAUCAGCUAGUUGGUGGGGUACUGUCUUAAGAAGGCGGCGAUGCGUAGCAGACCUGAGAGGGUGACCGGCCACAAUGGAACUGAGACACGGUUCAGCACUCUAAGGGAGCCAGGAGUAGGGCAGGUUCCGCAAUGGGCGAAAGCUUGACGGAGCAACGACGCGUGAGUGAUGAAGGUCUUCGGAUCGUAAAACUCUGUUAUUAGGGAAGCACAAAUGUGUAAGUAACUAUGCACGUCUUGACGGUACCUAAUCAGAAAGCCACGGCUAACUACGU